RNAcentral lists this ribosomal RNA (466 nucleotides) under uncultured bacterium. RNAcentral's name for it is "partial 16S ribosomal RNA". It matches the Rfam family "Bacterial small subunit ribosomal RNA", at positions 28 to 507 of the family's 1533-position model. The record is from RNAcentral.
GACGAACGCUGGCGGCGUGCUUAACACAUGCAAGUCGUGCGGUAAGGCCCUUUCGUGGGUGCACGAGCGGCGAACGGGCGGGUAACAAGCGCGCAACCUGCCCUUCACUUUGGGAUAACUGCCGGAAACGGUGGCUAAUACCUGCUAUGAAUUCCCCACGCCUGUGGGGUGGUGGAAAGCCUGCGGGGGGUGGGGGUAGGGCUCGCGGUCUAUCCGCGUGGUGGUGGGGGGAUGGCCUACCAAGGCUUCGACGGGUGUCCGGCCUGAGAGGGUGACCGGCCAGACUGGGACUGGGACACGGCCCAGAAUCCUACGGGAGGCAGCAGUGGGGAAUAUUGGACAAUGGGCGGAAGGCUGAUCGAGCAAAGCCGCGUGGGGGAUGACGGCCUUCGGGUUGUAAACCUCUUUCGCCUGCGACGAAGCGAGAGUGACGGUAGCAGGUAAAGAAGCACCGGCCAACUACGUG